AUUGAACGCUGGCGGCAUGCCUUACACAUGCAAGUCGAACGGUAACAGGUCUUCGGACGCUGACGAGUGGCGAACGGGUGAGUAAUACAUCGGAACGUGCCCAGUCGUGGGGGAUAACUACUCGAAAGAGUAGCUAAUACCGCAUACGAUCUGAGGAUGAAAGCGGGGGACCUUCGGGCCUUGCGCGAUUGGAGCGGCCGAUGGCAGAUUAGGUAGUUGGUGGGAUAAAAGCUUACCAAGCCGACGAUCUGUAGCUGGUCUGAGAGGACGACCAGCCACACUGGGACUGAGACACGGCCCAGACUCCUACGGGAGGCAGCAGUGGGGAAUUUUGGACAAUGGGCGAAAGCCUGAUCCAACAAUGCCGCGUGCAGGAUGAAGGCCUUCGGGUUGUAAACUGCUUUUGUACGGAACGAAAAAGCUCCUUCUAAUACAGGGGGCCCAUGACGGUACCGUAAGAAUAAGCACCGGCUAACUACGUGCCAGCAGCCGCCGUAA
This 498-nucleotide ribosomal RNA is filed under the name uncultured bacterium. RNAcentral's name for it is "partial 16S ribosomal RNA". It matches the Rfam family "Bacterial small subunit ribosomal RNA", at positions 30 to 523 of the family's 1533-position model. The record is from RNAcentral.